Molecule: long non-coding RNA, 1342 nt
Filed under: Mytilus galloprovincialis (Mediterranean mussel)
Lineage: Eukaryota; Metazoa; Mollusca; Bivalvia; Mytilida; Mytilidae
Source: RNAcentral
UUGACAAUGUUAUGAAUUAGUUUUAAUUAAGGAAUGAUAUUGACAUUUCUUUCUGAACAAUAAUAAUAAUAAUAAAUACAAAAUUAUAUCACAGAUAUCUAUAUAAACAUCUAAAGAAACAACAUGUCUGAUAAACAAGGACACACAAAUGUCAACAAUCUGAUGUGGACAGAAAUAAACACAGAAGGUAAAGAACACACAUUUAUAUCACCGAUUAUAAAAACACAACAUUUUUAGCAACCAACCUCUAUAUAAUAUUUAACAUUUUGUAGUCAUUUGUUUUGUACAAAUCAUCAUAUUCAAUUACUUCACCAUAUAUAUCUAUAUUAUGAUAUUAUGUUUACCGAGGGCAAAGUCUGAGGUCAAUAUAGGUUUUUCUGGGUUUUAUCAACUAUAUUAUAAUCUUGUAACCACAUCAUUAAAAGUUAUAAAUAGUUUUGUUGUUUCAUGUUUUACAAUUGAGAUAGGCUUCAAAAAUUAUCAUUCUUUUCUCAGUAAUUUAAAACAGUUUGACAAUUAUAUCAUCUUUGUGAAGUUAAUUUAGAAACAAAAGUAGUUACAAAACUCAUGUGUGGUAGAAUAUGAUAUCUAACAUAGUCAUAAACAGUACAAAUACUUUAUAUUCAAAGCAUCAUUAUUGAAGAUUUCUUGGUAAAUAUUGAAAUCAAUUUUGCAUGAUAAUAACCAAUUAAUUUGGUUGGCAAUAAACAAUAUCUAAAUUUAUCGGUGGACAAUUAUUUUCAAACAUUUAAUACUUUGUCAUCUCUUAACAAAUUUAGACUCUCUAAAAUAAACCUUGGAAAGUACAUGUCUACUCAAAUUUGUUUUUGAAAUAAAAUAAAUCAUUUCUAAAUCUUUCUACAAAUUUUUGGAUUUUAACACAUCAAAACUAAAUAAAAUCAACAGAUAAAUUUCAACAAAUCUCCUGAAAACUUUUAUAAUAAACCUUUAAUGUGUAUUUAAGGUUAUUUUGUUGGUGCGAACAUACUUAAAGUAUUCUGAAAUAGUAAAUGAGUUAUCUCAAUGUUCUGCAGGCCCAUGAAACAAAAGUGCUGAAUCGUUAUCAUGUGUGAUACCAACUUUUGUCUGGAUUUUGUUAAUAAAGGUGAAAACAAAUAAAUUAACCUCAAGCAUGACACCACUUCUAUUUUUUUUUACAAUGAAAUAAAAAAAUUAUUUAACAAGAAUGUGUCCAUAGUACAAGGAUGCCCCACUCGCACAAUCAUUUUCUAUGUUCAGUGGACCGUGAAAUUGGGGUCAAAACUUAAAUUUGGAAUUAAAAUUAGAAAGAUCAUAUCAUAGGGAACAUGUGUACUAAGUUUCAAGUUGAUGUAACUUUAAC